This 383-nucleotide long non-coding RNA is filed under the name Homo sapiens (human). RNAcentral's name for it is "non-protein coding lnc-SLC2A14-2:1". Lineage: Eukaryota; Metazoa; Chordata; Mammalia; Primates; Hominidae. The record is from RNAcentral.
UCUGCUCCUGGAGCCUUUGAAUAAAAAUGCACGUAGCUGAGGCCGGAUGCGGUGGCUCACGCCUGUAAUCCCAGCACUUUGGGAGAAUCAUGUGAACCCGGGACGCAGGGGUUGCAGUGAGCGGAGAUCGCAUCAUUGCACUCUAGCCUGGGCCACAGGGCGAGACUCCGUCUCAAAAAAAAAAAAAUGCACAUAGCUAUCAAGUGUGCUUUAGCUUGAAAAGGUGACCUUGCAACUUCAUGUCAACUUCUGGCUCCUCAAACAGUAGGUUGGCAGUAAGGCAGGGUCCCAUUUCUCACUGAGAAGAUUGUGAAUAUUUCCAUAUGGAUUUUCUAUUGUUACUCUGGUUCUUUGUUUUAAAAUAAAAAUUCUGAAUGUACACG